RNAcentral lists this ribosomal RNA (3149 nucleotides) under Streptomyces seoulensis. Its description in RNAcentral is "23S ribosomal RNA". It matches the Rfam family "Bacterial large subunit ribosomal RNA". The record is from RNAcentral. Lineage: Bacteria; Bacillati; Actinomycetota; Actinomycetes; Kitasatosporales; Streptomycetaceae.
ACAGUGGACGCGAGCAUCUGUGGCCAAGUUUUUAAGGGCGCACGGUGGAUGCCUUGGCACCAGGAACCGAUGAAGGACGUGGGAGGCCACGAUAGUCCCCGGGGAGCCGUCAACCAGGCUUUGAUCCGGGGGUUUCCGAAUGGGGAAACCCGGCAGUCGUCAUGGGCUGUCACCCGCUGCUGAACACAUAGGCAGUGUGGAGGGAACGAGGGGAAGUGAAACAUCUCAGUACCCUCAGGAAGAGAAAACAACCGUGAUUCCGGGAGUAGUGGCGAGCGAAACCGGAUGAGGCCAAACCGUAUACGUGUGAGACCCGGCAGGGGUUGCGUGUGCGGGGUUGUGGGAUCUCUCUUCUGUCGUCUGCCGGCGACAGGACGAGUCAGAAACCGUUGAUGUAGGCGAAGGACAUGCGAAAGGUCCGGCGUAGAGGGUAAGACCCCCGUAGUCGAAACAUCAGCGGCUCGUUUGAGAGACACCCAAGUAGCACGGGGCCCGAGAAAUCCCGUGUGAAUCUGGCGGGACCACCCGCUAAGCCUAAAUAUUCCCUGGUGACCGAUAGCGGAUAGUACCGUGAGGGAAUGGUGAAAAGUACCGCGGGAGCGGAGUGAAAUAGUACCUGAAACCGUGUGCCUACAAGCCGUGGGAGCGUCGCGCAUUGAGUUUACUCAGUGCGUCGUGACUGCGUGCCUUUUGAAGAAUGAGCCUGCGAGUUUGCGGUGUGUUGCGAGGUUAACCCGUGUGGGGAAGCCGUAGCGAAAGCGAGUCCGAAUAGGGCGAUUCAGUAGCGCGCUCAAGACCCGAAGCGGAGUGAUCUAGCCAUGGGCAGGUUGAAGCGGAGGUAAGACUUCGUGGAGGACCGAACCCACCAGGGUUGAAAACCUGGGGGAUGACCUGUGGUUAGGGGUGAAAGGCCAAUCAAACUCCGUGAUAGCUGGUUCUCCCCGAAAUGCAUUUAGGUGCAGCGUCGUGUGUUUCUUGCCGGAGGUAGAGCACUGGAUAGGCGAUGGGCCCUACCGGGUUACUGACCUUAGCCAAACUCCGAAUGCCGGUAAGUGAGAGCACGGCAGUGAGACUGUGGGGGAUAAGCUCCAUGGUCGAGAGGGAAACAGCCCAGAGCAUCGACUAAGGCCCCUAAGCGUACGCUAAGUGGGAAAGGAUGUGGAGUCGCAGAGACAACCAGGAGGUUGGCUUAGAAGCAGCCACCCUUGAAAGAGUGCGUAAUAGCUCACUGGUCUAGUGAUUCCGCGCCGACAAUGUAGCGGGGCUCAAGCGUACCGCCGAAGUCGUGUCAUUCAUACAAUAGGGCCAACGCCUGUAUGGAUGGGUAGGGGAGCGUCGUGUGCCGGGUGAAGCAGCCGCGGAAGCGAGUUGUGGACGGUUCACGAGUGAGAAUGCAGGCAUGAGUAGCGAUACAAACGUGAGAAACGUUUGCGCCGAUUGACUAAGGGUUCCUGGGUCAAGCUGAUCUGCCCAGGGUAAGUCGGGACCUAAGGCGAGGCCGACAGGCGUAGUCGAUGGAUAACCGGUUGAUAUUCCGGUACCCGCUGUGAAGCGUCAAACAUCGAGCAUCGUGAUGCUAAGGCCGUGAAGCCGUUCCGGACCCUUCGGGGAAUGGAAAGUGGUGGAGCCGCCGGCCCAAGCGGUUAGUAGGUGAGUGAUGGGGUGACGCAGGAAGGUAGUCCAGCCCAGGCGGUGGUUGUCCUGGGGUAAGGGUGUAGGACGCAAGGUAGGCAAAUCCGCCUUGCACAUAGUCUGAGACCUGAUGCCGAGCCGAUUGUGGUGAAGUGGAUGAUCCUAUGCUGUCGAGAAAAGCCUCUAGCGAGUUUCAUAGCGGCCCGUACCCUAAACCGACUCAGGUGGUCAGGUAGAGAAUACCGAGGCGUUCGGGUGAACUAUGGUUAAGGAACUCGGCAAAAUGCCCCCGUAACUUCGGGAGAAGGGGGGCCAUCACUGGUGAUCGGAUUUACUCCGUGAGCUGGGGGUGGCCGCAGAGACCAGCGAGAAGCGACUGUUUACUAAAAACACAGGUCCGUGCGAAGCCGUAAGGCGAUGUAUACGGACUGACGCCUGCCCGGUGCUGGAACGUUAAGGGGACCGGUUAGUCCUGUUUCGACAGGGCGAAGCUGAGAACUUAAGCGCCAGUAAACGGCGGUGGUAACUAUAACCAUCCUAAGGUAGCGAAAUUCCUUGUCGGGUAAGUUCCGACCUGCACGAAUGGCGUAACGACUUCUCGACUGUCUCAACCAUAGGCCCGGUGAAAUUGCACUACGAGUAAAGAUGCUCGUUUCGCGCAGCAGGACGGAAAGACCCCGGGACCUUUACUACAGUUUGAUAUUGGUGUUCGGUUCGGCUUGUGUAGGAUAGCUGGGAGACUUUGAAGCAUGCACGCCAGUGUGUGUGGAGUCGUCGUUGAAAUACCAGUCUGGUCGUGCUGGAUGUCUAACCUGGGUCCGUGAUCCGGAUCAGGGACAGUGUCUGAUGGGUAGUUUAACUGGGGCGGUUGCCUCCUAAAGAGUAACGGAGGCGCCCAAAGGUUCCCUCAGCCUGGUUGGCAAUCAGGUGUUGAGUGUAAGUGCACAAGGGAGCUUGACUGUGAGACCGACGGGUCGAGCAGGGACGAAAGUCGGGACUAGUGAUCCGGCGGUGGCUUGUGGAAGCGCCGUCGCUCAACGGAUAAAAGGUACCCCGGGGAUAACAGGCUGAUCUUCCCCAAGAGUCCAUAUCGACGGGAUGGUUUGGCACCUCGAUGUCGGCUCGUCGCAUCCUGGGGCUGGAGUCGGUCCCAAGGGUUGGGCUGUUCGCCCAUUAAAGCGGUACGCGAGCUGGGUUUAGAACGUCGUGAGACAGUUCGGUCCCUAUCCGCUGUGCGCGUAGGAAUAUUGAGAAGGGCUGUCCCUAGUACGAGAGGACCGGGACGGACGAACCUCUGGUGUGCCAGUUGUCCUGCCAAGGGCAUGGCUGGUUGGCUACGUUCGGGAGGGAUAACCGCUGAAAGCAUCUAAGCGGGAAGCCUGCUUCGAGAUGAGUAUUCCCACCUCCUUGAGAGGGUAAGGCUCCCAGUAGACGACUGGGUUGAUAGGCCAGAUAUGGAAGCCUGGUAACGGGUGGAGUUGACUGGUACUAAUAGGCCGAGGGCUUGUCCUCAGUUG